GAGGUUGUGGCUCAGCGGUAGAGUGCUCACCUAGCACAUGUGAGGCCCUGGGUUCCAUCCUCAGCACCACA
This 71-nucleotide transfer RNA is filed under the name Marmota monax (woodchuck). RNAcentral's name for it is "tRNA.Ala". The record is from RNAcentral. Lineage: Eukaryota; Metazoa; Chordata; Mammalia; Rodentia; Sciuridae.